Non-coding RNA from Mycena latifolia, 96 nucleotides. NCBI's taxonomy places the organism in Eukaryota, Fungi, Basidiomycota, Agaricomycetes, Agaricales, Mycenaceae. The record is from the annotation of a GenBank genome assembly.
GACCCAGUGGCGAAGUGGUAUCGCAUCUGCUAGACUUUCAGUGAAUGGAAUGUUCAGUUUCUGCGGAAGACACCCGUUCAAUUCGGGUCUGGGUCA